RNAcentral lists this long non-coding RNA (258 nucleotides) under Populus trichocarpa (black cottonwood). RNAcentral's name for it is "long non-coding RNA (PTRI_LNC004667)". Lineage: Eukaryota; Viridiplantae; Streptophyta; Magnoliopsida; Malpighiales; Salicaceae. The record is from RNAcentral.
CUGAGUCAACACAGAGUAAUUAUUAAUUUACUUACCUUAACAGCAGAAUCAUAUUCUCCACCACUCUCUCUGCCAUAAAAGAUCAAAACUUUAGCACAUUCAAGCAAAAAACUAAAUAAAGUAGGAGUCUCUCUCUCUCUAGAAUCUCUGUUUUUAUCCUCUCUCUAGAAAGAGAAAGCAAGCAAAUGGCAGCAGCCCCACCAGCAGUGGCAGUGAAUGGAGGAGGAAUGGCGGCAGCAAAGGUGGCAUCACAGGCUU